UGGAGGGGAGCGAAGGGUUUUUUUUUAGGGCGUUCUUUCGUCUGGUUGGAAUGGCUAAAGCGAUUUUUUUGGCGAUCUCUUGCCGCCUUCUUUCUUGCGUUCUCCUUGCCGCCCUCUUUCUUCCGUUCCCUUCUCGGCAUGGCCGCUCAGCAACAGAAGCGCAAUAAGUUGGCCGAGGAGCAGGAGGAAAUUGAAGAAAUGCAGGAUGGACCUUUCACGAUCGAGCAGCGCCAGAAGGCUGAAACCAUUCACAAGCUUCACAUGGUGUCGUGGGAAACUGUUUGUAAGCCGAAACUGGAAGAAGGUUUGGGAAUUCCGUUGUGAUUUACAGAAUGUACAACUGUCCUUCUCCUUUAUCUUCUUGGUUAUCUGCUCAUUAUAUUUCACCUUGGAAACCUACUAAUCCCAAAGCUAUCAAAUUUUGGCUCUCUGUUUGUAGUACAGCAGCAAUUGUGAAAUCCAAUUUUAAGUUUUUUAUUCUCCUAAUGCUCCUAUCUCCUUGCUUUGGGACCAUUGGUGUAAUAAUACUACUCUAUCUGAGCAUGUGGCAGGUGUUUCCCUGGAUAGUCUCUCUCUCCCUCUGCUUAAAAAUUAUAUUUCUUCUGGAAAUUGGGUUUUUUCUGAUGAUAUCCCUCUUGUUUUGAGGGCUGCUGUUAGCAGUUCUCCGAUUUUGGACACUACUGGUCCUUGUCUUUUUUGGAAUGAUUGUGACAAGGUUAAAUUUAGAGACUUUAUUGAGGAAUUUUAUAACAUUUUGCCGGCUUGUCCUUGGUACAACCUUGUUUGGCACAAAAAGCAUAUUUUGAAGCAUUCUGUUUAUGUUUGGCUUGCUCUAGUUGGUGGGUUAAAAACUCAAGAUGCCUUGAGAUCAAGAAAUAUUUAUGUGCCGAUGGUUUGCUCUUUAUGUCAUUCAGCAACUGAAACUGUUAAUCACCUUUUCUUUGAGUGCUCUUACUCAUUCUUUGUGAUUAACUCUCUUAUCCCUGGCACUAGAAAUUUUCUCUUAAGGCCUAUUGUUAUCCAACUUCUACAAUGGCUGGAGACCGAAUUUUCUGAUUCUCAAAUGAUUAUGAAUUUCUAUAUGUUGAUGGUUUGUUGUAUUAUUUACCAAUUGUGAAGGGAAAGGACUUGUAGAAGAUUUGGGAAUGAAAUUCAUAGCUCUUCUUCUUUGUUGUUUACCGUCAAAAGUAUUAUCACUGGGAAGAUAGCUAAGUGGAGAAAGUCUGAGGUACUUCUGAAUAAAAUCUGAUGGAGGGAUGGAGGAUUGAUGUUGAGAUAUUGAUGUUUGGAUGGAUGCUUUUCUCAGAUACUGUUGUUUACUGGCGGGAUUGGUUUAUUUAACCAGGACAAUGAUGAAGCUCCUUACUGACGUUCUACAACUGUAUUCCCCUUGGAUGGCCUUCGGGCAACCAGGGGUUUUUGCCUAUUUCCUUAUAUCUGAGUCCUGGUUAACCUUAAUGGAGCUCAUUUUGAGAACUUUGGUUCUGUUGUUCUGUAGUCUUUUGGUUUUGCUUUCUCUGUUACCAGGUUUCCUGCUACCAUUUUACUCUUCGCGCGGCUGGGAGGUUCUUGAUCCAGUUCUUCAGCUGAGAAGGGGAUGCGCUAUCAACGUCUGGGAGCUCUUGGCAUAUUUUGGGAUCUUGCUCAUUUCUGAAUUGCUGCAGGGUUUGCUGGCUGCAGUUUCUUCAAGUCUCAUUUGUGUGUAAUUUUUUGAUUGUAUGGGUGGUAUAGUUGGGUUUUUUUACAUAGAAUCUUCAUAAGUUUUUGUUUUUGCUUAUGAUGGGUUAUUUUACUUGUAUUCACCUUUACUUGUAACCUCUUUUUCAUAGUAAUAUAUGGACCACGGCCCCAAAAUUUCCCAAAAAAUAAACAGAAGGCUGAAACUUUGGAUUC
Dendrobium catenatum is the source of this 1893-nucleotide long non-coding RNA. RefSeq lists it as uncharacterized. NCBI's taxonomy places the organism in Eukaryota, Viridiplantae, Streptophyta, Magnoliopsida, Asparagales, Orchidaceae. The record is from RefSeq and is a predicted model, not a curated record. The transcript is spliced from 2 exons.